This 497-nucleotide ribosomal RNA is filed under the name uncultured bacterium. RNAcentral's name for it is "partial 16S ribosomal RNA". It matches the Rfam family "Bacterial small subunit ribosomal RNA", at positions 28 to 507 of the family's 1533-position model. The record is from RNAcentral.
GAUGAACGCUGGCGGCGUGCCUAAUACAUGCAAGUCGAGCGAACAGACGAGGAGCUUGCUCCUCUGACGUUAGCGGCGGACGGGUGAGUAACACGUGGAUAACCUACCUAUAAGACUGGGAUAACUUCGGGAAACCGGAGCUAAUACCGGAUAAUAUAUCGAACCGCAUGGUUCAAUAGUGAAAGACGGUUUUGCUGUCAAUUAUAGAUGGAUCCGCGCCGCAUUAGCUAGUUGGUAAGGUAACGGCUUACCAAGGAAACGAUGCGCAGCCGACAUGAGAGGGUGAUCGGCCACCCUGGAACUUAGACACGGUCCAGACUCCUACGGGAGGCAGCAGUAGGGAAUCUUCCGCAAUGGUCGAAAGCCUUACGGAGCAACGCCGCGUGAGUGAUGAAGGUCUUCGGAUCGUAAAACUCUGUUAUUAGUGAAGAACAAAUGUGUAAGUAACUAUGCACGUCUUGACGGUACCUAAUCAGAAAGCCACGGCUAACUACGUG